GACGUAGGGCGCGAGCGUUGUCCGGAUUUAUUGGGCGUAAAGAGCUCGUAGGCGGCUUGUUGCGUCAGCUGUGAAAACCCGCAGCUCAACUGUGGGCUUGCAGCUGAUACGGGCAGGCUUGAGUUCGGUAGGGGAGACUGGAAUUCCUGGUGUAGCGGUGAAAUGCGCAGAUAUCAGGAGGAACACCGGUGGCGAAGGCGGGUCUCUGGGCCGAUACUGUCGCUGAGGAGCGAAAGCGUGGGGAGCGAACAGG
Molecule: ribosomal RNA, 253 nt
Filed under: uncultured bacterium
Lineage: Bacteria
Description: partial 16S ribosomal RNA
Rfam family: Bacterial small subunit ribosomal RNA
Source: RNAcentral